CGCUACUUAUGAUGCCAUCUCAUUUCUUCAGCUGUCUUUGUGGACAUAUACAACUUUUAAAGUCUUAAAAUCAAUAAAAAAUACUUCAAAAUCUUUUGAGGUAUCUUCUUUCUUUUCUUGUUAUCGGUUUUGUACCUAGGCUCAUCAUAUUUCGAACAUUCUGUUGCCUAUUUGUUAUCCUGAUAAAAUAAUAUACAAUUAUUUUUAUAGGCAUGUAUAGGAAU
RNAcentral lists this long non-coding RNA (224 nucleotides) under Elaeis guineensis (African oil palm). Its description in RNAcentral is "long non-coding RNA (EGUI_LNC074462)". The record is from RNAcentral. Lineage: Eukaryota; Viridiplantae; Streptophyta; Magnoliopsida; Arecales; Arecaceae.